CCUGCAUCCUUUGCGCCACCGUAAAGCCUUAUGGGUAGGUUACCAACGUCCUUGUCCUACCAAGCGCACACCGACUGCCUUCACGCAAGGGCUUGAGGGUCUCUGUCAUUCACUCGAACUUAAAGAAAAUCAGAUUUUCAAACAUGAUGGCAGCAAGAUUUCUCCGCCGUGCUCUCCCCGUGCUGAGGCAAGCUCGCUCCUACGCCGAGGCCGUCUCCGGUUCCCCGCAGAUGUCCUUCACUUUCGCCUCCCCGACACAGGUGUUUUUCAAAGAGGCCAGUGUGAAACAGGUUGACGUGCCCACACUCACUGGUGCGUUCGGUAUCCUUCCUGCCCAUGUACCUACCCUGCAGGUGCUCCGGCCCGGUGUUGUCACAGUCUUUGGUGACGACGGCUCCGCUGCCAAAUACUUUGUGAGCAGUGGGUCAAUAACAGUCAACGCUGAUUCUUCAGUGCAACUGCUAUGUGAGGAGGCUGUUGCUUUGGACCAGCUGGACAUUGCUGCCGCCAAGGCCAACCUGGAGAAGGCCCAGUCUGACUUGGCCGGCACAUCUGACGAGGCGGCGAGGGCAGAAGUUCAGAUCAGCAUAGAGGCCAACGAGGCCAUCGUCAAGGCUCUGGAGUAGACCUGUGGUACGACAUCUCAGCUGCCGCACCGUGAUGUGAUUGUUAGAGAGAUGUCAUUUAGAUUAAUCCAACAGGAUAAUGUACUCUUUUGUGUUUCUUUGAUGGAAACGAAUGGUCAAUCUGUUUCCAGCUGCUUGCUUUGUACAGUGGAUAAAAUUACAAAAUAAAUUUAUUAGGAAAUAACCUG
RNA transcript from Sander lucioperca (pikeperch), 814 nucleotides. It is a transcript of the gene named ATP synthase F1 subunit delta, with no coding region annotated. The transcript is spliced from 5 exons. The record is from RefSeq and is a predicted model, not a curated record. Lineage: Eukaryota; Metazoa; Chordata; Actinopteri; Perciformes; Percidae.